This is a long non-coding RNA of Prunus persica (peach), 2279 nucleotides long. RefSeq lists it as uncharacterized. The record is from RefSeq and is a predicted model, not a curated record. Lineage: Eukaryota; Viridiplantae; Streptophyta; Magnoliopsida; Rosales; Rosaceae. The transcript has 5 exons.
UAGUGUAGCCGCAUGGCUAUGCUCUGCUCGCGCAUUUUUCAAAACAGUGCAGCCGUUCGGCUAUGGUCGGGCAUUUUUUAAAUAUAAAAAGUAUAGCCGCACGGCUAUACUGGUUUUGAGACGUGCCCCACAGGUGCUAGGCGGGUCUUUUUUUAUUUAUUAAUAGUAUAACCGAAUAGUAGCUGUACGCAAGUAAUUUUUUUUUUUAAUGAUCUAAACUACUCGAAUCAGUGCAUAAGCUCCCUACCAUCAAUUUCUCCAUUGAAGUGUUCAUGAUCAUGUGUUGCAGGUUUUGGUGAUUGUAUCUAUGCCUGAGUUUAGGAAAUAGCGCUUAAUGCCACUGCUUUCCAAAUUUUAUCUAAAAGUACCACCUUUACCCACACAUUUUGCAAAUAUAACCUAUAAAUACAUACCUAUUGCCCACUUAUCGGCCGCAUAACACUUUUGUUCAGUUUUUGUUUUCUCUCUCUCUCUCUCUCUCUCUCUCUCAUAGUUCUCUCUUCCUCUCUCAACGCUCUCUAUCUCUCUCUACAUCUAGCUAACUACGCCUCUUCUCACGAAGAAGAAGAUCAAGAACAACCUACAAAACCCACAGCUUUGCCCUCAAAACCCAAUUCUUCCUCUUCCUCUUCCUCUAUGUUUUCUUCUCUCCCCAAAUCCAAACCCCAACUUCGUCUCUCUUCGAAUCCCUUCUACAACUUAAACAAACCCAAAAAAAACCAUCUUUUCUGAAUAUGAUAGCGUGUCUUGGCAUUAGGUGGGCCAUUAUUUGAGCAUUUUGGUCCAAUUUUGGGGGUUUUGAAAUCAGGGUUUACAUGCCCUCUUCAAGAACAGCUUCUCCCGAAAAUGAAUUGUUGGGAAUAUGUUUUGGUGAUUGUAUCUAUGCCUGAGUCAAACAUAGUAUAGCCGCGCGGCGGUACUAUUUUUAAAAAUAAAAACCAGAGGUAUAUUGCUCUUGCUUUUCUUGAGUUUGAAUCGUGGUUGCCCAUUUUUCUCACGUUGAUGAAUUGAAGGUAGAUGCUCAAAUUCCUCAAUGAUGAUUUGAAUUUAAUCUACAUAUCGAUGCUCAUGGAAUAUCCUUUCAUGGUUAUUGUGAAAAGUUUUGUUCUUGGUUCAUGACAAUCAACCACAUUUUCUAUGUUUGAAAAUAGAGGGUAAAAAUUAAUGACAGACAAUAGCAGUGAUCCUGAAACUGAAAGUUACCCCCUGCCCAUGAUCCAUCAGCUUUCUUCAAGAUCACUUCCAUCAUAGCCACUUGGUAUAUAGUGCUUGGUCUAGACUUAUCAGUAAAGUGCUGUCUUUGAUUUGGAUUUGUAUAUCAUUGUUGCUUCAAUUUUUUAUUUUUUGGAAUUUUGACAUGGAAGGCAUGAUGCUUUUGGUUUGUAGGUUGUUGGGUACCUUAACAGCAAGCAGGCGGCACUGUUCAAAAGAAUGAUUUGGGAAGCAAUGAACAAGGACUAUGAUAAGGUGCAUUGUGAUCUGAAGCAUAGGCUUGGAAGUCUCAUCCAGCUUGGAGUUCUUGCCUAGUUCUGAGCUGUUAUUUCAGUCACACACUGCAUAACUGUGUUGAAAGUUUUUACUUCAAUCUUAUUUGCAUUUGACUUAUUUUUUGAUCUUUCGACUAUUUGUGUAUGUUUUACUGCCAGCAUUGAGUCUUAUGUAUUGAUCUCUAUGUGCAACUAUAAAAUUGGCAGGGAAAGAGUAGAAAACGAGCCAGAAUGGCCAAGAAAGCUGCUCCUGCUUAAAAGCCAGAAAAGGCUGUCAAAGUUUCUACUGUGAUGGAUACUAGGAAUAGGCUGAGUGCAAAAAUCAACUAUGAAGCUUUAGAUAAAUUAAAUGAAGAGCUUGGUUAUGCACCUGCAUUUGAGGAAGGCACAAAGUCUAACUGUGGCAGCCUUAGUGAUAUGCAACUGUCAAAUGAGAAGAACAGUCAUGAUGAUGAGUUUGAGCAUGAAAGUAAUGGUUACAGACUACAGUGAAAAGGCUGAAGCCAGACAAGGCCAAGAUGACAAUUCAUAUGUUGCGAAUGACAAAUAUAAUGGAUACAAUUAUGAUGAUGAAUGCAAUUAUGAUGAGGAAUGCGAUUUUGAAGAAUUGACUUAAAUAAUCAACUUUUUUUUUUCUUGAUUUAGAUUAUUUUUUUCAUGAACCAGUUGUAUCAUGUUACGAUCUAAAGGUUAAGCAAUUGAAUCUUCUGGUUUUUAACAACUUUUUCGAAUUGAAAUCAAUCAGAAGAGAGAUGCUAUUGAGCAUUGUUUGCAUGUGAAACUCUUUGAACU